RNAcentral lists this ribosomal RNA (400 nucleotides) under uncultured bacterium. RNAcentral's name for it is "partial 16S ribosomal RNA". It matches the Rfam family "Bacterial small subunit ribosomal RNA", at positions 359 to 776 of the family's 1533-position model. The record is from RNAcentral.
GAUCUUGCGACAAUGGGCGAAAGCCUGACGCAGCAACGCCGCGUGCGGGAGGACGGCCUUCGGGUUGUAAACCGCUUUUCGGGGGGAAGAGGAAGGACGGUACCCCCGGAAGAAGUCUCGGCUAACUACGUGCCAGCAGCCGCGGUAAUACGUAGGGGGCGAGCGUUAUCCGGAAUUAUUGGGCGUAAAGGGUGCGUAGGCGGCCUUUUAAGUCAGAUGUGAAAGGCUACGGCUUAACCGUAGUUAGCAUUUGAAACUAAAAGGCUUGAGUGCAGGAGAGGAGAGUGGAAUUCCUAGUGUAGCGGUGAAAUGCGUAGAUAUUAGGAGGAACACCAGUGGCGAAGGCGACUCUCUGGACUGCAACUGACGCUGAGGCACGAAAGCGUGGGGAGCGAACAGG